UCCGUGUUAUGCCCCUAUUGUAUCACUUUCUUUAGAGAAACCUAACCUGCUCUGGUCUCACACCUCUUUGGAGAAAAUCUAACCUCCUCUGGUCUCACACUCUCUUUGGAGAAACUGGAGCUUCUUUCUCUAGGAACGGCAUAGUGGAGUCGCUGAGUGUGCAGGGAUUUUUGUUUGGAGACUCUCAUUGCAUAAUUGAUUAAACUUACUCAGUUCUGUACUUUUAAUUAGAAGACUGGUCCAUACUUACUGUACCUUGAGUAUGUUGGAUUAGUGAUCUAGGGUGCAUCUUGUAGUUGUCUAGUUUGUUUUUACGUUACCUUGUCAUAUGAGGCAUCAAUGGAUCAUUUGUUGCAAGCUACAUUUAUAAUUGUACUAGCACUACCCCUUAGUCACAAGUUGUUAAACCUUCGUAAUUUGUCUCUUGAUCUAGUCAAUGCAAAGUAUGCAGCCAUAGUUGGUUGACGAUCGAAAGCAUAUGGUGCAGCCAAUGAAUUCUGGAAUGAUCAUCUCUGUAGAGAGUGAAUGUUUUGUUUUGUUUUUUCUUUUCAUUUUGUUAAUGGAAAUUUCUGUAGAGCCAGAGCGUCGGCAUUGUGUGUGUACCUACACUUCUUAAUAUUACUAUAUUCAACUUGUUAAAGUACUAUUGACAGAGGAGGCCAAGAAAAAGAUCUCAGAAUCUGGGAACAUAAUUCAAUAAAAAAACAAAAAUGGUAUACAAUACAAGCAAGCACCAAGGGCUUUGAAUUAAUCUUCUGCAUAGAUGAUUCAGGUCGAGGUCUAGUUUCGUUUGGCUUCUGCUUGUCUUUCCUAUAGCACAACAGUUAGGCUGAUGUGGUAAAUUGCGGAGAUUGAGAGAGAAGGCUGCAAGCUAAAUAUUGCCUGAACUUGCCUUCCUCCGUUGCUAGCCUAGAAAAGGAAAUAAAAGGGAAAUUCAAGUAACAGUCUCCACCAUACACUACAAGAAGACAACGGAAGCACAAACAAGGUGCACUGGUUUGGAUAAGUGAUGAAUAUGCAGUUUCCGCCUUGGGGGAUUUAGGGGUCUGAUCAAGCUGUCAGCUUGCUUUGCGAGAUCAUAUUUCGAUAUAUGUGCCACUUCUCGUAUCUCUGGAAACCAGGAAGAACAGGUCUAAAUCGAGGAGCACUAGUGCAUUCCAAACAGCAGCAUCCUCUUAAAUCUUAACCUCAUUAUCAUUACAAGGCAUAAUUAGGAAAAAGUAAUGCAUAUACCUUCAUGGCUACGUUUGACAACUAUUAUUGUAGCUAAGGAUACUUGCGUUUUGCUACAUUUAUAGUCAAUCAUGUUCACCUCUCUCUCUCUC
Molecule: long non-coding RNA, 1325 nt
Organism: Prunus persica (peach)
Lineage: Eukaryota; Viridiplantae; Streptophyta; Magnoliopsida; Rosales; Rosaceae
Exons: 2
Source: RefSeq, a predicted model, not a curated record